Molecule: ribosomal RNA, 381 nt
Filed under: Triticum aestivum (bread wheat)
Lineage: Eukaryota; Viridiplantae; Streptophyta; Magnoliopsida; Poales; Poaceae
Description: partial small subunit ribosomal RNA
Source: RNAcentral
AUGUGGCACAAGACCGACAAUACCUUGCCGGUGAUGGUCAACGGCCGGCAGACGGGCAGCAAAAAGGUUCUGGUGCUGCACACCAACAAGAACUUCGACCAGCAGAGGACCAACUGGGUGAUGCACCAGUACCACCUCGGGGACCUGGAGCAAGAGAAGGAGCGGGAGCUGGUCCUCUGCAAGAUUUUCUACCAGACAAACACUAGGGCAAGGAGUAAAAAGAUUAUAAGUCGAGCAAGUUUCAACUGGGUUGUAGACUGCCCAGACUUGGUUUUGUUUUUAACAGGCCCAGCCCAUGAUGACAACGGGGCACAAAGAUCCAGCAGGUAUCUACUGCCCCCCCUCAAAAAAAUCUACUGGCCUCUGGCCCGCCAGCGUUAG